RNAcentral lists this ribosomal RNA (254 nucleotides) under uncultured bacterium. RNAcentral describes it as "partial 16S ribosomal RNA". It matches the Rfam family "Bacterial small subunit ribosomal RNA", at positions 524 to 776 of the family's 1533-position model. The record is from RNAcentral.
UACGAAGGGUGCAAGCGUUAAUCGGAAUUACUGGGCGUAAAGCGUGCGCAGGCGGUGCACCAAGCUCGAUGUGAAAGCCCCGGGCUUAACCUGGGAAUUGCAUUGAGGACUGGUGUGCUCGAGUGCGGCAGAGGGAGGUGGAAUUCCACGUGUAGCAGUGAAAUGCGUAGAGAUGUGGAGGAACACCGAUGGCGAAGGCAGCCUCCUGGGCCGACACUGACGCUGAGGGCACGAAAGCGUGGGGAGCAAACAGG